AGAAAUCAAUAAUGUUGCAGUUUGGAACACCAUUGCAGGGCUUUUAGUCAAACUCUCUUGAUUAGGGGUGGAGGUGGGUGGGCUACAAACUGCAGCCUGAAGAAGGAAUGGUACUGGCUCAAGGUCACAUGUCUGGUUAGUUGAUAGCUGGGAAAGGAACUCAGGACUCCUGACUUCCAUGCCAGGGCUCUGUCUCCCACUGUCAUUGAGAACGGAUAUUGGUGUGGACCAGCACUCUUGGCAGACGGAUUAUUUAAUGAGCCAAAUUAUUUUACCAUAAUGGCAUGAACAUUUCAUAGUAAAUCAGGUCCAUUGUCACUACAGCAUCACUAAUUACCCACAUGUAGUCAGCAAGGGUGAACUUUCCUCUUGAAAUCGCUAUUUCAUAGAAUAUUGAUUUCCCAGAUACAUUGUGAGAUGGCUAACAUUGGCUAGGAUGAGAUAUGAAGUCUGGAUAAAUAUACCUUGAUGUGCUUUUUAUAGCCUCUGAUCCCUAAAUCUUGAAUUUUAUUUUGUAAGGAAGAAGCUCAUAGUAGAUUCUAUAGGAAUAAGGAAGUAUAGAAUUGGUAUAUUAAUGAAUCAUUUAGACUAAAGGGGUUCGUUCAAGGUUAAGAGAUGAUUUUUAUUUCAAGUAGGGAGGCAUCUGGGAACAUUUAUAGGCUGUUGAUAAGGAACCAGUGGAGAGGGAGGUACAAACUCAAGAAAGGGCAAGGGUAGAUCACUGAGGGAGUAAAGUUCCUGAACUGGUAGGGUGACUGGAUUUGGACAAGAGCAAGGCACUAUAUUUUCUCAGACUGGAGGUGAAGGAUAAGCGAAGAUGGAAAUCACCAGAAGAUUGAAGGUGCUCCCCACCAUCCCAUCCCCACGCAAAGAUCUGGCUUCCAGCUCCAACACUGCCACCAGAUGGCCAACUGUUCUUAGGCCAGUGGUCUAACCUCUCUGGGCUUCAGCUUCAUCAUCCCUUGUUAGAUGUGCUCUGCCUACCUCACGGGACUGGACUGCUGAGUGGAACAAAUGAGGUAAGGAUAUAAGAAUUUUUUGGAGAAUUAAAAACACAGAGCUAAAGUCAAAAAGAGUCAAAAGCAAUAAACUCAGGACUGGCCUAAGAUAAAAGGUGAAA
RNAcentral lists this long non-coding RNA (1120 nucleotides) under Felis catus (domestic cat). RNAcentral's name for it is "lncRNA (ENSFCAG00000042091.2)". Lineage: Eukaryota; Metazoa; Chordata; Mammalia; Carnivora; Felidae. The record is from RNAcentral.